RNAcentral lists this ribosomal RNA (982 nucleotides) under Marinococcus sp. Its description in RNAcentral is "bacterial SSU rRNA". It matches the Rfam family "Bacterial small subunit ribosomal RNA", at positions 62 to 1005 of the family's 1533-position model. The record is from RNAcentral. Lineage: Bacteria; Bacillati; Bacillota; Bacilli; Caryophanales; Bacillaceae.
UCGAGCGCGGGANGCCGGCGGACUCCUUCGGGAGGAAACCGGUGGAACGAGCGGCGGACGGGUGAGUAACACGUGGGCAACCUGCCGGACUGAUGGGAAUAACCCCGGGAAACCGGGGCUAAUGCCCAAUACGCCCUGACCUCGCCUGAGGUCAGCGGCAAAGCAGGGAUCUUCGGAUCCUUGCACAGUCCGAUGGGCCCGCGGCGCAUUAGCUAGUUGGAGAGGUAAGGGCUCCCCAAGGCGACGAUGCGUAGCCGACCUGAGAGGGUGAUCGGCCACACUGGGACUGAGACACGGCCCAGACUCCUACGGGAGGCAGCAGUAGGGAAUCAUCCGCAAUGGGCGAAAGCCUGACGGUGCAACGCCGCGUGAGUGAUGAAGGUUUUCGGAUCGUAAAGCUCUGUUGACAGGGAAGAACCCACGCCAGUCGAACAGGCUGGCGUGCUGACGGUACCUGUCCAGAAAGCCCCGGCUAACUACGUGCCAGCAGCCGCGGUAAUACGUAGGGGGCAAGCGUUGUCCGGAAUUAUUGGGCGUAAAGGGCACGCAGGCGGUUUCGUCAGUCCGAUGUGACAGGCCACGGCUCAACCGUGGAAGGCCAUUGGAAACUGCUAAACUUGAGGACAGAAGAGGAGAGUGGAAUUCCACGUGUAGCGGUGAAAUGCGUAGAUAUGUGGAGGAACACCAGUGGCGAAGGCGACUCUCUGGUCUGUACCUGACGCUGAGGUGCGAAAGCAUGGGGAGCAAACAGGAUUAGAUACCCUGGUAGUCCAUGCCGUAAACGCUGAGUGCUAGGUGUUAGGGGUUUCGAUACCCGUAGUGCCGAAGCUAACGCAUUAAGCACUCCGCCUGGGGAGUACGACCGCAAGGUUGAAACUCAAAGGAAUUGACGGGGGCCNGCACAAGCGGUGGAGCAUGUGGUUUAAUUCGACGCAACGCGAAGAACCUUACCAGAUCUUGACAUCUUCCGCUACGCCUCGAG